RNAcentral lists this unclassified non-coding RNA (424 nucleotides) under fungal sp. RNAcentral describes it as "partial internal transcribed spacer region". The stretch from base 1 to 46 matches the Rfam family "Eukaryotic small subunit ribosomal RNA", at positions 1786 to 1831 of the family's 1831-position model. Lineage: Eukaryota; Fungi. The record is from RNAcentral.
AAGUCGUAACAAGGUUUCCGUAGGUGAACCUGCGGAAGGAUCAUUAACACGUAUCCAAACGUUAAAACCCCCCCCGUGAACCUUUAUGAGUGCGCACCGUCGGGUAUCCCGAGUCGUAGUGUAUGGUAAAUCAUGGGUAGAGUUGGGGUUCUCUCAACAGGCUACAUUAUUGAUUCAAUGACUACGAUUAGCUGACGGAGUCGCGAGCUCGAAGCAGCAGCGGCCCAAGCAAUAACUUGUCUGAAAGUGUCAUUUAUUGGGCAAGGAUAGCGCUUCUACGAUUCCUGUAGACCGUACACUCGGGCAGGAGCUUGGCCAAAGGGUCCCCAUGCCCCCUAAUAACCCCACAGUUUAAUGUGAAGCUCAAUGUAAUACAUUGGGUAAAAAAACCGAACAACUGUUAACAAUGGAUAUCUUGGUUCUC